GGCCAGAUAGCUCAGUUGGUAGAGCAAAGGACUGAAAAUCCUUGUGUCGGCGGUUCGACCCCGUCUCUGGCCACCA
Molecule: transfer RNA, 76 nt
Filed under: Rickettsiaceae bacterium
Lineage: Bacteria; Pseudomonadati; Pseudomonadota; Alphaproteobacteria; Rickettsiales; Rickettsiaceae
Description: tRNA-Phe
Rfam family: tRNA
About the family: Transfer RNA (tRNA) molecules are approximately 80 nucleotides in length. Their secondary structure includes four short double-helical elements and three loops (D, anti-codon, and T loops).
Source: RNAcentral